RNAcentral lists this ribosomal RNA (823 nucleotides) under uncultured bacterium. RNAcentral describes it as "bacterial SSU rRNA". It matches the Rfam family "Bacterial small subunit ribosomal RNA", at positions 613 to 1437 of the family's 1533-position model. The record is from RNAcentral.
CCUGGGAACUGCGUUNUGAACUGGGUGACUAGAGUGUNUCAGAGGGAGGUAGAAUUCCACGUGUAGCAGUGAAAUGCGUAGAGAUGUGGAGGAAUACCGAUGGCGAAGGCAGCCUCCUGGGAUAACACUGACGUUCAUGCCCGAAAGCGUGGGUAGCAAACAGGAUUAGAUACCCUGGUAGUCCACGCCCUAAACGAUGUCGAUUAGCUGUUGGGCAGCAUGACUGCUUAGUAGCGAAGCUAACGCGUGAAAUCGACCGCCUGGGGAGUACGGUCGCAAGAUUAAAACUCAAAGGAAUUGACGGGGACCCGCACAAGCGGUGGAUGAUGUGGAUUAAUUCGAUGCAACGCGAAGAACCUUACCUGGUCUUGACAUGUGCGGAACCCUCCAGAGACGGAGGGGUGCCUUCGGGAGCCGUAACACAGGUGCUGCAUGGCUGUCGUCAGCUCGUGUCGUGAGAUGUUGGGUUAAGUCCCGCAACGAGCGCAACCCUUGUCAUUAGUUGCCAUCAUUAAGUUGGGCACUCUAAUGAGACUGCCGGUGACAAGCCGGAGGAAGGUGGGGAUGACGUCAAGUCCUCAUGGCCCUUAUGACCAGGGCUUCACACGUCAUACAAUGGUCGGUACAGAGGGUAGCCAAGCCGCGAGGUGGAGCCAAUCUCACAAAACCGAUCGUAGUCCGGAUUGCACUCUGCAACUCGAGUGCAUGAAGUCGGAAUCGCUAGUAAUCGCAGGUCAGCAUACUGCGGUGAAUACGUUCCCGGGUCUUGUACACACCGCCCGUCACACCAUGGGAGUGGGGGAUACCAGAAGUAGGUAGGGUA